CUGGGCUACCAGACGCCAACUGUAAUAAAUUCAGCCAUUCAGUAAAUCAAUAUAUUCAGUUCAUAUUCUGUCCAAUCCAUGACGCUUCUUUAAAGAUAUCUGAAAAUAUACAACAGAGAGCAGAAAAUAUUCUCAAGGGUGGGAUAGGGUGGGUUUUGUGUUCCUUCAGUUCAAAUCACGCAAUGAACAAAUCACGAAAAGCAUGCAAUUUUAUACCAAAUAAAAGCGGGAAAACCGCUUACGAAAUUAUGUAGGUAAAUGAAAGACGCUCAAGUCCUUCAAAAUUAAAGAAAAGAUAACUCUAGUUUAUCAGACGAUAAUCUUAAUUUAUUAAAUUGAUUUAAUGCUUAAUGAUUAAAUCUUAUUAUUAAAUAUUCGAAAGAAAC
This 386-nucleotide long non-coding RNA is filed under the name Mytilus galloprovincialis (Mediterranean mussel). The record is from RNAcentral. Lineage: Eukaryota; Metazoa; Mollusca; Bivalvia; Mytilida; Mytilidae.